RNAcentral lists this ribosomal RNA (628 nucleotides) under Rotylenchulus reniformis. Its description in RNAcentral is "SSU rRNA". It matches the Rfam family "Eukaryotic small subunit ribosomal RNA", at positions 1009 to 1664 of the family's 1831-position model. Lineage: Eukaryota; Metazoa; Nematoda; Chromadorea; Rhabditida; Hoplolaimidae. The record is from RNAcentral.
CAGAUACCGCCCUAGUUCUGACCGUAAACGAUGCCAACUAGCGAUCCGCCAGUCGACUCAUCGCUCUGGUGGGGAGCUUCCCGGAAACGAAAGUCUUCCGGUUCCGGGGGAAGUAUGGUUGCAAAGCUGAAACUUAAAGGAAUUGACGGAAGGGCACCACCAGGAGUGGAGCCUGCGGCUUAAUUUGACUCAACACGGGGAAACUCACCCGGCCCGGACACCGUAAGGAUUGACAGAUUGAUAGCUUUUUCAUGAUUCGGUGGAUGGUGGUGCAUGGCCGUUCUUAGUUCGUGGAGCGAUUUGUCUGGUUUAUUCCGAUAACGAGCGAGACUCUGGCCUACUAAAUAGUUGGCACAUUGCCACUGUGUGCCCAACUUCUUAGAGGGAUUUUCGGUGUUCAGCCGCACGAAAUUGAGCAAUAACAGGUCUGUGAUGCCCUUAGAUGUCCGGGGCUGCACGCGCGCUACACUGGCAAAAUCAGCGUGCUUGUCCUCCCCCGAAAGGGGUUGGUAAACCGAUGAAAAUUUGCCGUGAUUGGGAUCGGACAUUGCAAUUAUUGUCCGUGAACGAGGAAUCCCUUGUAAGGGCGAGUCAUCAACUCGUCCUGAAUACGUCCCUGCCCUUUGUA